Molecule: ribosomal RNA, 492 nt
Filed under: uncultured bacterium
Lineage: Bacteria
Description: partial 16S ribosomal RNA
Rfam family: Bacterial small subunit ribosomal RNA
Source: RNAcentral
AUUGAACGCUGGCGGCAUGCUUUACACAUGCAAGUCGAACGGUAACAGGCCUUCGGGUGCUGACGAGUGGCGAACGGGUGAGUAAUGCAUCGGAACGUGCCCAGAGGUGGGGGAUAACGCAGCGAAAGCUGUGCUAAUACCGCAUGUGAUCUGAGUAUGAAAGCGGGGGACCAUGCAGCAAUGUUUGGCCUCGCGCCUUUGGAGCGGCCGAUGUCAGAUUAGGUAGUUGGUGGGGUAAAGGCCUACCAAGCCGACGAUCUAUAGCUGGUCUGAGAGGACGACCAGCCACACUGGGACUGAGACACGGCCCAUACUCCUACGGGAGGCAGCAGUGGGGAAUUUUGGACAAUGGGCGCAAGCCUGAUCCAGCAAUGCCGCGUGCGGGAAGAAGGCCUUCGGGUUGUAAACCGCUUUUGUACGGAACGAAAAGUCUCUGGCUAAUACCUGAGGCUGAUGACGGUACCGUAAGAAUAAGCACCGGCUAACUACGUG